Salvelinus namaycush (lake trout) is the source of this 782-nucleotide long non-coding RNA. RefSeq lists it as uncharacterized. The record is from RefSeq and is a predicted model, not a curated record. Lineage: Eukaryota; Metazoa; Chordata; Actinopteri; Salmoniformes; Salmonidae. The transcript has 2 exons.
UCUGGAUUGGUCUGACUGACUCUGUUACUGAGGGGACCUGGAAAUGGGUGGACGGCACCCCACUGACCACAGGGUACUGGGGGACAGGACAGCCUGAUAAUAGUGGGCAAGAGGACUGUGUUGAGAUAUACUAUGGACAAGAUGACCCUGUACAGACAUGGAAUGAUGACAAAUGUGACAAAUAUCAUAACUGGAUCUGUGAGAAAGUGGUGUAACAAUAACCCACAGUAACAAACAUUAUCUCUGUCUCUCUUUCUCUCUCCCUCUAAUGGUUGGAUAAGGUCCUGAAUGGUUAAGUGAUGAUUCCACCUAGUGGUUAAAGUGACAGAUGAACUCACCAUAGAGGUGAAAUAAUGAUAUUACAGACUUAUCAAAACACAUUGGAGAAUAGAAUCUUAGGGGAGGGACCUUGGACCUUCUCCUCUAAUAGGGUUGAAAGGAGGAUAGGAGAUAGGAGGAGAGGAAUCUAGGAAAGACUAAUUGAGAUAGAGCCUUAGCGUCAGAGAGAGACAUAGAGGUUGAGGAAGAAACUUAAGAGAAUGAGGAAGAGAGAAACAAUAAGACAAAUGAUUGUUGUGUUUAGAUUUAGAGGAGAGUAUGUAGACGUACUGUCCUCUGUAAAAUGAUUAUUCUUUAUUUUUAUUAGAAACAUGUCAUGUGAUUUACCAUAGACUUAUGCUUAGUAAAAUAAAAUUGGGACCAAUUAUUAACCAAUGCUUAUCACUUUAAUGAUAUGAAUAACAAAGUCACUUUUGAGAAAAAAAAGGAACAAUUGUCUUUAA